CAUGUGCCUGUUUUCCCCAUC
RNAcentral lists this microRNA (21 nucleotides) under Solanum lycopersicum (tomato). RNAcentral describes it as "sly-miR164a-3p". Its record names the gene sly-miR164a-3p. The record is from miRBase by way of RNAcentral. Lineage: Eukaryota; Viridiplantae; Streptophyta; Magnoliopsida; Solanales; Solanaceae.